Molecule: long non-coding RNA, 2022 nt
Organism: Xenopus laevis (African clawed frog)
Lineage: Eukaryota; Metazoa; Chordata; Amphibia; Anura; Pipidae
Exons: 3
Source: RefSeq, a predicted model, not a curated record
UAGGGCAGUUUCAGUAUCUCUCAUAUACUAUCAGAUUUUGCCUGUCCACCACACUGAAAGAAUAAGUAAACGUUUUUUUUUUCUGUCUAUAAAUUUACUCUAAACAGCCCCCCAGAUUAAUGUACCUUAGUCCCUGCUGCAAGUCUGCUCUGGUUCCAGCGUUGUCAGCAGCUUCUUUCCCCUUCUUCCUGGUGCAGGGUGAAGCCCCACCCCUAAGCUUGCUGAGCUCUCCUUAUCUCUCUGACUAGUCGGAGAGAUCAUUUGCAUGCUGUGUCAUAGCUGGGAGGAAGGCAGAGCCAGUGUGUGCACGAGCAGCUUUUUUUUUUUUCUCCUCACAUGCACUCCCUGCUCGUUCUGGUUCAUUCCAGAUCACAGCAGCACUGGGAGGAAGAGCUGGAAGACUUCUCUGAUACUGCUAAUGCACUGUCUUUAUUUUUCCUAAGGAGAAUUUUUCAAAACAGCUGGCAGAAUGGAUUACUUACACAGACACUUGAGUAACUGCUUGCACUUCAGCUGUCAGACUCUCAGCCCCAUCAUGCAAAUACUAUCUGCUGUUAAUUCUAAGGAAAGGUAUCACCCUGUGCCUGUUGUCCCUCUGGCAGAAAUUCCCCACUGAUGACCCCGGGAUCUGGGGUAAUUAAUGGCCACAAGUUUGUUGUUAAUAAAACUCCUACUACAUCGAGCCCAAAUUCCCACCCUGCGAAGAGUAUUCUCAAAAUAACUACUUGCACAACCAGUCCCCAGAAUACUACGAGCGGCCGAGGGAGCCCGGGUUAGAGGCUCCUGCUGAGACUCUGUACUUGGGAGCGGGUAGUUACCCCAAAGACGGCUAUAGAUACAGCCACAUUGCUCCGCCGAGCCAAGAAUCUUCUGCAACAGUCCAGGAUCAUGGGAUCUCUCCCAUAUCCCAUCCGUAUGCUUGAAUGAAGAAUCACCUGCGCUAAUGCACUCACGGUGCUUCGAUUCGGCAACUAAAUCUCCUCGAAUUUGCCCAUGUGCCCUUACCCUUAGUUUUCCGAAGUUGCCUCACUAGGAAACUUCAGUCGACUUUGGAAACGGAAGUGUUCCGAGUGUCAUCCCACAGGCGAUUUUCACUCUAGCUGGCGGGCAGGCAGUUCGUGGAGAUUAUUCGCCCGUAGAAAAAACAAUUUGUCGAUAGGGCGAUUAAUCUCCCCAAAUCUCCACGUGUGUCUCUGCCCUUAGGCUACUGCCAGACAGGACUGAUUAUUGGCAUGUGCAUGAAAGCAGGCCCAGAAUCAACUAACUUGCUGGAGUCUGGUCAGUGGCAUAAAUAACACCCUCGCGGGACUACCCUGUGGGGGCCACAGGUCCUGAGGGGCUCCUGCCACUGCUGCCAGGGUUCAGGCACCCACCUCUUCAGCCCAGAAUAAAUAAAAUCUCGCGUCUGCCACCACCUUUAGGGCAGUGGCACACAAAGCUACAGGGGGAGAUUAGUCGCCCAGCGACAAAUUGCUUUUUCUUCAGGCGACUAAUCUCAUCUGAACUGCUUCCUCGCCGGGUAAAGUAUUAAUCACCUGCGGGAUGGCACUCAGAACAUUUCAGUUUCUGAAGUCGCCCAAAGUUUCCUCAUGAGACAACUUUGUUUUCCAAGUGCCACCCCGCAGGCGAUUUACACUUUAGCCGGCGGGUGGCAGUUCAGGGGGAUUAGUCGCCCGAAGAAAAAGCAAUUUGUCGCUAGGCGACUAAUCUCCCCCUGUAGCUUCGUGUGCCACUGCCUUAGGAAUAACACAGUGCAUGCGAUGUGUCGGCUCCAGAUGUGUUGUGGAGUUCUACCCUAAAACACCAACCAAUAAAAAUUAAAACCAAUAAGAAAAUGUCUCAGAAUAUCAGUUUCUACAUCAUACUAAAGCAAUGCAUUGGGCAUUGUAAAUAUCAAUAGUAUCUCUGACCACACUGUAUGAUAUAAUUUACCAUUAGUAAUAUGUCGUAAAUGAAUGGAACAUUUUUAAUAUUAAUAAAACAGAUUAUUAUUGGAAAUUUUUAAGAAAAUAUAUAUUUAAA